Molecule: ribosomal RNA, 497 nt
Filed under: uncultured bacterium
Lineage: Bacteria
Description: partial 16S ribosomal RNA
Rfam family: Bacterial small subunit ribosomal RNA
Source: RNAcentral
GAUGAACGCUGGCGGCGUGCCUAAUACAUGCAAGUCGAGCGAACAGACGAGGAGCUUGCUCCUCUGACGUUAGCGGCGGACGGGUGAGUAACACGUGGAUAACCUACCUAUAAGACUGGGAUAACUUCGGGAAACCGGAGCUAAUACCGGAUAAUAUAUUGAACCGCAUGGUUCAAUAGUGAAAGACGGUUUUGCUGUCACUUAUAGAUGGAUCCGCGCCGCAUUAGCUAGUUGGUAAGGUAACGGCUUACCAAGGCAACGAUGCGUAGCCGACCUGAGAGGGUGAUCGGCCACACUGGAACUGAGACACGGUCCAGACUCCUACGGGAGGCAGCAGUAGGGAAUCUUCCGCAAUGGGCGAAAGCCUUACGGAGCAACGCCGCGUGAGUGAUGAAGGUCUUCGGAUCGUAAAACUCUGUUAUUAGGUAAGAACAAAUGUGUAAGUAACUAUGCACGUCUUGACGGUACCUAAUCAGAAAGCCACGGCUAACUACGUG